AUUGAACGCUGGCGGCAUGCUUUACACAUGCAAGUCGAACGGUAACAGGCCGCAAGGUGCUGACGAGUGGCGAACGGGUGAGUAAUGCAUCGGAACGUGCCCAGUCGUGGGGGAUAACGCAGCGAAAGCUGCGCUAAUACCGCAUACGAUCUAUGGAUGAAAGCGGGGGACCGUAAGGCCUCGCGCGAUUGGAGCGGCCGAUGUCAGAUUAGGUAGUUGGUGGGGUAAAGGCUCACCAAGCCAACGAUCUGUAGCUGGUCUGAGAGGACGACCAGCCACACUGGGACUGAGACACGGCCCAGACUCCUACGGGAGGCAGCAGUGGGGAAUUUUGGACAAUGGGCGCAAGCCUGAUCCAGCAAUGCCGCGUGCAGGAAGAAGGCCU
RNAcentral lists this ribosomal RNA (385 nucleotides) under uncultured bacterium. RNAcentral describes it as "bacterial SSU rRNA". It matches the Rfam family "Bacterial small subunit ribosomal RNA", at positions 29 to 417 of the family's 1533-position model. The record is from RNAcentral.